This is a long non-coding RNA of Oncorhynchus keta (chum salmon), 538 nucleotides long. RefSeq lists it as uncharacterized. The record is from RefSeq and is a predicted model, not a curated record. Lineage: Eukaryota; Metazoa; Chordata; Actinopteri; Salmoniformes; Salmonidae. The transcript is spliced from 4 exons.
GUCUAAAUCAGUCCCUGAAUAGAGGGGAAUCAUCCACCUGGUGUCUCAGGUCUAAAUCAGUCCCUGAUUAGAGGGGAAUCAUCCACCUGGUGUCCCAGGUCUAAAUCAGUCCCUGAUUAGAGGGGAAUCAUCCACCUGGUGUCCCAGGUCUAAAUCAGUCCCUGAAUAGAGGGGAGUCAUCCACCUGGUGUCCCAGGUCUAAAUCAGUCCCUGAAUAGAGGGGAGUCAUCCACCUGGUGUCCCAGGUCUAAAUCAGUCCCUGAUUAGAGGGGAAUCAUCCACCUGGUGUCUCAGGUCUAAAUCAGUCCCUGAUUAGAGGGGAAUCAUCCACCUGGUGUCCCAGGUCUAAAUCAGUCCCUGAAUAGAGGGGAAUCAUCCACCUGGUGUCCCAGGUCUAAAUCAGUCCCUGAUUAGAGGGGAAUCAUCCACCUGGUGUCCCAGGUCUAAAUCAGUCCCUGAUUAGAGGGGAAUCAUCCACCUGGUGUCCCAGGUCUAAAUCAGUCCCUGAUUAGAGGGGAAUCAUCCACCUGGUGUCCCA